GAAAGUAAGACUAAUACCCAAUGACGUCUCUAGAAGACAUCUGAAAGAGAUUAAAGAUUUAUCGGUGAUGGAUGGGGAUGCGUCUGAUUAGCUUGUUGGCGGGGUAACGGCCCACCAAGGCAACGAUCAGUAGGGGUUCUGAGAGGAAGGUCCCCCACAUUGGAACUGAGACACGGUCCAAACUCCUACGGGAGGCAGCAGUGAGGAAUAUUGGUCAAUGGACGAGAGUCUGAACCAGCCAAGUAGCGUGCAGGAUGACGGCCCUAUGGGUUGUAAACUGCUUUUAUAAGGGAAUAAAGUGAGUCUCGUGAGACUUUUUGCAUGUACCUUAUGAAUAAGGACCGGCUAAUUCCGUGCCAGCAGCCGCGGUAAUACGGAAGGUCCGGGCGUUAUCCGGAUUUAUUGGGUUUAAAGGGAGCGUAGGCCGGAGAUUAAGCGUGUUGUGAAAUGUAGACGCUCAACGUCUGCACUGCAGCGCGAACUGGUUUCCUUGAGUACGCACAAAGUGGGCGGAAUUCGUGGUGUAGCGGUGAAAUGCUUAGAUAUCACGAAGAACUCCGAUUGCGAAGGCAGCUCACUGGAGCGCAACUGACGCUGAAGCUCGAAAGUGCGGGUAUCGAACAGGAUUAGAUACCCUGGUAGUCUGCACGGUAAACGAUGGAUGCCCGGGGUUCGUUUGAAUACUCGCCGUGGUUUUACGAUCGGGAAACGGUUAUCAC
This 719-nucleotide ribosomal RNA is filed under the name uncultured bacterium. Its description in RNAcentral is "bacterial SSU rRNA". It matches the Rfam family "Bacterial small subunit ribosomal RNA", at positions 153 to 873 of the family's 1533-position model. The record is from RNAcentral.